GCUUGCUUAUCUGAUGUUAGCGGCCUUUGGGUGAGUAACACGUGGGUAACCUACCUAUAAGACUGGGAUAACUCCGGGAAACCGGGGCUAAUACCGGAUAAUAUUUUGAACCGCAUGGUUCAAUAGUGAAAGACGGUUUCGGCUGUCACUUAUAGAUGGACCCGCGCCGUAUUAGCUAGUUGGUAAGGUAACGGCUUACCAAGGCGACGAUACGUAGCCGACCUGAGAGGGUGAUCGGCCACACUGGAACUGAGACACGGUCCAGACUCCUACGGGAGGCAGCAGUAGGGAAUCUUCCGCAAUGGGCGAAAGCCUGACGGAGCAACGCCGCGUGAGUGAUGAAGGUCUUCGGAUCGUAAAACUCUGUUGUUAGGGAAGAACAAAUUUGUUAGUAACUGAACAAGUCUUGACGGUACCUAACCAGAAAGCCACGGCUAACUACGUGCCAGCAGCCGCGGUAAUACGUAGGUGGCAAGCGUUAUCCGGAAUUAUUGGGCGUAAAGCGCGCGUAGGCGGUUUCUUAAGUCUGAUGUGAAAGCCCACGG
This 545-nucleotide ribosomal RNA is filed under the name uncultured bacterium. RNAcentral describes it as "bacterial SSU rRNA". It matches the Rfam family "Bacterial small subunit ribosomal RNA", at positions 78 to 607 of the family's 1533-position model. The record is from RNAcentral.